AUGCACCCGGAUAGGAGAGAAUGGAACGAGGCCUUGAUAAGGCAGCUAUUUUACCCCUUUGAUGCGGAUGAAAUAUGCAAAUUAAACAUCCCGGCCUCGGAGGUGGACGACCGCAUCGCUUGGCACUAUGAAAAGAAUGGAAUUUUUUCGGUGAGGAGUGCUUAUAAGCUUGCUGCGGCAAGUCUUGCCCAAUUGGCCCAGAACCCAUCGAGGUCGUCAAGGGAGCCAAAUGAUAGAAAUGUCUGGGACCUAAUUUGGAAGGCUAAAGUCCCUGCAAAAGUACGGAUAUUCGGUUGGAGAGUGGCCACUAAUACACUAGCCACCAAGGAAAAUAAGUGGAAAAGAAGCAUCGACUUGGAUGCUACAUGCAAUAUCUGUGGGAAUGGUGUUGAGAAUGAGCAUCAUGCUGUGGUCAUGUGCACAAAGAGUAGAGCCCUGAGAAAUGCAUUGAGGGGUGUAUGGAAUUUACCUGGGGAGGAAAAGUUUUGGUAUACGGGGAAUGAUUGGCUGCAGACCCUGCUGGACACAGAGAGCGAAAAGGGACGCGCAAGGAUCCUGAUGAUGCUCUGGAGAUGUUGGCAUCUCAGAGAAGACUGCAUACGACACAAUGGAAAAGAGUCAAUUAGCAGCUCGGUUCAGUUUCUGCUCAAAUAUGAGGAAGAACUUGUUAAUGCAGAGUUGCCUAGUACUGUGUCUGAUGGCAAGGAAAAGGUGAUUGAAAAGGGACCCUGUAGGCUGUAG
This 741-nucleotide ribosomal RNA is filed under the name Triticum aestivum (bread wheat). RNAcentral describes it as "partial small subunit ribosomal RNA". Lineage: Eukaryota; Viridiplantae; Streptophyta; Magnoliopsida; Poales; Poaceae. The record is from RNAcentral.